Papaver somniferum (opium poppy) is the source of this 303-nucleotide long non-coding RNA. RefSeq lists it as uncharacterized. The record is from RefSeq and is a predicted model, not a curated record. The transcript has 3 exons. Lineage: Eukaryota; Viridiplantae; Streptophyta; Magnoliopsida; Ranunculales; Papaveraceae.
UACUAGUUUGAAUUUUAUGUACACCUUGUACACUAGGAAGUUCUUGAUAAUCUGGAAUAUAGACCAGAGGGUCAGGAAUCUUAUUUUUGAUGAGUCUUAAUUUAUAGAUUGGAUUAUAAUUUGAUUUUUAUGUAUUUGCUUUAGGAUCUGGAAUUGGUUCGUUCAGAAUGAGUUCUUCUUUAUUUUAGGGGUUUUCUUUGCAAUAACUAGUUUUCCGCAUCCUUUUGACAAAAGUGAAUCAGUUCCCAAAAUGAUCAAACUGAAAGCGAAAGAUUACCACCCUGUUCAAUCUCAAAACAUGGA